GAUGAAGAACGUAGCGAAAUGCGAUAAGUAAUGCGAAUUGCAGAAUUUCCGUGAGUCAUCGAAUCUUUGAACGCACAUUGCGCCCAUUAGUAUUCUAGUGGGCAUGCCUGUUCGAGCGUCAUUAAUUCCACUUAAGCCCUGCUUAGUGUUGGGAAUCUACUCUAGUGGUGCUACCCUGGAGCUACCCCUGAAAGGGGGCUGGCCCGGUAGCUACCCUGUAGUUCCUCAAAGAUAGUGCGCGGAGUUGCGUGGUCCUCUGAGCUUAGUAACUAUACACCUAGCUUUUGAGUGUCCCGCGGCGCCUGCCGUUUAAACCCCAUCUUUUAAUGGUUGACCUCGGAUCAGGUAGGAAUACCCGCUGAACUUAAGCAUAUCAAUAAGCGGAGGA
Molecule: unclassified non-coding RNA, 388 nt
Filed under: soil metagenome
Description: partial contains 5.8S ribosomal RNA, internal transcribed spacer 2, and large subunit ribosomal RNA
Rfam family: 5.8S ribosomal RNA (bases 1-121)
Source: RNAcentral